Molecule: long non-coding RNA, 258 nt
Filed under: Physcomitrium patens
Lineage: Eukaryota; Viridiplantae; Streptophyta; Bryopsida; Funariales; Funariaceae
Description: long non-coding RNA (PPAT_LNC007869)
Source: RNAcentral
GACUGGUUCUUCGGGAAUUACGGUUGGAGAAGACGUUUUCAGUUAUCCCAAUGUGCCUUCGGAUUGGUAUCGGGAUAACAAUGUGCAAUCUCACAUUGCUAAGGAAGACUGGAAGUUUGUGACAGUGGAGUUUGAAGGAGAAGAACCAAGACAAAUGAAGAUGGGAAGCCAACUAGUGGAUGAAGAGAUCAAGGCCUACUGUGAGUUAGUAAGAGAGUAUCGGGAGGUCUUUGCAUGGUCUUACAAGGAGUUAAAGGG